This 276-nucleotide small nuclear RNA is filed under the name Erinaceus europaeus (western European hedgehog). RNAcentral's name for it is "7SK RNA". It matches the Rfam family "7SK RNA". Rfam says of the family: 7SK was discovered as an abundant small nuclear RNA in the mid-70s but a possible function has only recently been suggested. Two independent studies have found that 7SK RNA binds the CDK9/cyclin T complex (known as elongation factor P-TEFb). The record is from Rfam by way of RNAcentral. Lineage: Eukaryota; Metazoa; Chordata; Mammalia; Eulipotyphla; Erinaceidae.
AGAUGUGAAGGUGAUCUUGUUGCAACAUCUCAUUGCCAGGGUUGAUUCAGCUGAUCUGGCUGGCAAGGCAGGUGUCCCAUUCCUCCCUUAAUGUUCCAGUGUGUCUUUCCUGAAGCUACACACUGGAAGAGGAGACCUUUCCCUAAAAACUGACCAGUCUUUGGUAGAGGGCAUAUGUAACUAUACUCCCUGCUAGGACCUCUCCAAAGGAAAAAUAAAGAGAAAGGAAAAAAAGGGAGAUCAAGAAUAGACAGUUAUGCAAAUCUACCAUCCACU